AAACCCUCAAGCAUAGCUUGGUGUUGGGCGUUUGUCCCGCCGCGGCGCGGACUCGCCUCAAAAGCAUUGGCGGCCUGUGUAUUGGCUUCGAGCGCAGCAGAAUGCGGCUCGGGACCUCUUGCGCGGGCGUCCAUCAAGAUCUCCCCCAAAGU
This 152-nucleotide unclassified non-coding RNA is filed under the name uncultured Lophiostomataceae. RNAcentral's name for it is "sequence contains ITS2". The record is from RNAcentral. Lineage: Eukaryota; Fungi; Ascomycota; Dothideomycetes; Pleosporales; Lophiostomataceae.